GCCAGGCGUGGUGGCACACGCCUGUGAUCCCAACGGCUUAGGAGGCUGAGGCAGGAGGAUCACAAGUCCAAAGCUAGCCUCAGCAACUUAGUGAGGCCCUAAGCAACUCAGUAAGAACCUGUCUCUA
Molecule: small RNA, 127 nt
Filed under: Marmota monax (woodchuck)
Lineage: Eukaryota; Metazoa; Chordata; Mammalia; Rodentia; Sciuridae
Source: RNAcentral